Long non-coding RNA from Bombus terrestris (buff-tailed bumblebee), 781 nucleotides. RefSeq lists it as uncharacterized. NCBI's taxonomy places the organism in Eukaryota, Metazoa, Arthropoda, Insecta, Hymenoptera, Apidae. The record is from RefSeq and is a predicted model, not a curated record. The transcript is spliced from 4 exons.
GUUACAAAUGGAUUGUUAGAAAAGCAACUUAAAGUUUUAAGUAAACGUAGUUUCAUUGAAACACGAUCAUCUUUCAUAAAUGCAAAAUUCAUGUUUCCAAAAAUGUUCAUCACAUUAAUAUUUUGUUCAUUCUCGUUAUAGUCAAUAAUGAGGUUUUGGAGAAUGGACAUUUAAUGUGCAUCAUCCUAAUAUAUACCCUCUCUAGGAAGAGAUUUCUUGACUCUCUGCACCUUUUACGCGCGUGCAUUAAUAAACAAUUCAGAGAUAACCAGCUUCAUUUUAUACCUUAACACGAAAAUAAUUAUCACUUCAACGAUGAAAAGAUUAAACAAGGAAUAUUGUGACGAAGGUGAAAAUUUCGAAUAACUCAAAUAAAGGAAAAUAUGAGGAAGUUGGAUUAUUAUCGGGAUUUUGGCAUAUAUAUAUAUGUAAAGACUUACACCGAUUCUAAACGCAUCAUAAAUCCUAUUCACGUACACCAUGCAGCUACUAAGCGUAUUUAUUCUUUUCGUUUACCUUACAAUGGUGUCGUCGAGAACGUAUUCCUUGGGACGACCCAACGACCUCAUCAUUAAUGAGAAGCGGCGAUAAAAUAUUAAACAACGUAUUGGGUUUGGAAAUGACUAACUUCGAAUUCAACAAAAGUGUUAAACUCGCCGUUUUAAAAUUAUUAGCCGCUGAAAUUGACGUUUUAACGAACAAUGUUCAAAACAGCAACGUUUUUGAUUUAAUGAAUUCGCUUGUCUUUAAACUCCUCAUGAAUAUAUUGGGACCAUUAUCA